Molecule: long non-coding RNA, 476 nt
Filed under: Anas platyrhynchos (mallard)
Lineage: Eukaryota; Metazoa; Chordata; Aves; Anseriformes; Anatidae
Description: lncRNA (ENSAPLG00020011819.1)
Source: RNAcentral
ACCGGAGGAGAGCGAGCUCAGUCCCAGGAGGAUGCUGAAGGCAAGGAGGCGGCUCUCGGGUGCUGUGCCAGGGCAGUGAUGGUGCUCCCAUGCAGGACUCCUCGGCUGCGGGGGAUCCUCUGCUCUCCGUGCUCAGCCGGCUGCGAGGCUUCCAAGUUUUGUUCAGUUAUUCCUGAGUUUGGAAGAUAAAGAGUAGGUAGACCAAGACAAUGACUCAGAGAUGGAUUAGAAGAACAAACUGGAUUGCUAAGUCUUUGGGGGAAGAAGACUGUAUGUUCCUGGGCUUGUAUAGAAACCAGGAGACGUGUGCCAUAAUUCCGAAUCUUGUGAAAUGGGUGCAUUUCCUGGGAAGACUGUCAAAAGAGAAAAUUUCAGUGAUGGCUUGCCCCACUCCUACGAUUAUUCCUAUGGUCAAAAUAAUUGCCUGUUGUACAAAUAGAAGUGGGCACCUCUUCUCCCCCAGAACAGUACCCUGA